Molecule: long non-coding RNA, 217 nt
Filed under: Phoenix dactylifera (date palm)
Lineage: Eukaryota; Viridiplantae; Streptophyta; Magnoliopsida; Arecales; Arecaceae
Description: long non-coding RNA (PDAC_LNC013295)
Source: RNAcentral
CAUAGACAAAUCUUAUUGCUUGUGAUUAGAUUUUAAAUGAAUUUUGGUUCUAGAUUGCUAUAUGGUGUCUCCGCUGGUUUGAGAUAAAACUAGAAGAUAACAUUAGUACAUAACAUGCAAGCAGAGAACUUUGAAAGCAAACUGGCAACUAUAGUCCUUCGAUUGCAUAUUGAUAUGAUUUAUUUAACAUAGGGCAAACAAAGCCAGACAGCGACUU